ACAGAGGAGCCAAGCGUUGUCCGGAUUGACUGGGCGUAAAGCGCACGCAGGCGGUUGCGCGCGUGGGGUGUGAAAUCUGGCCGCUUAACGGCCAGGCGCCAUCCCAUACGGCGCGACUGGAGGGCUGCAGAGGUCGAUGGAAUUGCCGGUGUAGUGGUGAAAUGCGUAGAGAUCGGCAGGAACACCCAGGGGGAAACCAGUCGACUGGGCAGCACCUGACGCUGAGGUGCGAGAGCGUGGGGAGCGAACCGGAUUAGAUACCCGGGUAGUCCACGCCGUAAACGAUGGCCACUCGGCCUUUGGAGGCGGAAUCUCCGUCUUUGGGGGCCUUAGCUAACGCGGGAAGUGGCCCGCCUGGGAACUACGAGCGCAAGCUUA
Molecule: ribosomal RNA, 378 nt
Filed under: uncultured bacterium
Lineage: Bacteria
Description: bacterial SSU rRNA
Rfam family: Bacterial small subunit ribosomal RNA
Source: RNAcentral